Molecule: ribosomal RNA, 375 nt
Filed under: uncultured bacterium
Lineage: Bacteria
Description: bacterial SSU rRNA
Rfam family: Bacterial small subunit ribosomal RNA
Source: RNAcentral
GACGAACGCUGGCGGCGUGCUUAACACAUGCAAGUCGAGCGGUAAGGCCCUUUCGGGGGUACACGAGCGGCGAACGGGUGAGUAACACGUGGGUGACCUGCCCUCAGCUCUGGGAUAAGCCUGGGAAACCGGGUCUAAUACUGGAUAUGACUCCAUGACGCAUGUUGUGGGGUGGAAAGCCUUGUGCGGCUGAGGAUGGGCCCGCGGCCUAUCAGCUUGUUGGUGGGGUGANGGCCUACCAAGGCAACGACGGGUAGCCGGCCUGAGAGGGCGACCGGCCACACUGGGACUGAGACACGGCCCAGACUCCUACGGGAGGCAGCAGUGGGGAAUCUUGCGCAAUGGGCGAAAGCCUGACGCAGCGACGCCGCGUGA